Molecule: ribosomal RNA, 395 nt
Filed under: uncultured bacterium
Lineage: Bacteria
Description: bacterial SSU rRNA
Rfam family: Bacterial small subunit ribosomal RNA
Source: RNAcentral
AUUGAACGCUGGCGGCAGGCCUAACACAUGCAAGUCGAGCGGUUGAGGUAGCUUGCUACCGAUGCAGCGGCGAACGGGUGAGUAAUACAUGGGAAUCUGCCUGGUAGUGGGGGACAACGUCUCGAAAGGGACGCUAAUACCGCAUACGCCUACGGGGAAGGGGGAGUCUUCGGACCUCUCGCUAUCAGAUGAGCCCAUGUCAGAUUAGCUAGUUGGUGGGGUAAAGGCUCACCAAGGCGACGAUCUGUAACUGGUCUGAGAGGAUGAUCAGUCACACUGGAACUGAGACACGGUCCAGACUCCUACGGGAGCAGCAGUGGGGAAUAUUGGACAAUGGGCGCAAGCCUGAUCCAGCCAUGCCGCGUGUGUGAAGAAGGCCUUAGGUUGUAAAGCAC